UACGUAGGGCGCGAGCGUUGUCCGGAUUUAUUGGGCGUAAAGAGCGCGUAGGCGGCUCGUUGCGUCGGCUGUGAAAACCCGCAGCUCAACUGUGGGCUUGCAGCCGAUACGGGCGGGCUGGGAUUCGGUAGGGGAGACUGGAAUUCCUGGUGUAGCGGUGAAAUGCGCAGAUAUCAGGAGGAACACCGGUGGCGAAGGCGGGUCUCUGGGCCGAUAUCGACGCUGAGGAGCGAAAGCGUGGGGAGCGAACAGG
RNAcentral lists this ribosomal RNA (253 nucleotides) under uncultured bacterium. Its description in RNAcentral is "partial 16S ribosomal RNA". It matches the Rfam family "Bacterial small subunit ribosomal RNA", at positions 524 to 776 of the family's 1533-position model. The record is from RNAcentral.